CAGAGAACAUCGCCCUCACGGGUGACUCUCCAACCCUAUGUUAUUAAAACCUUUGUUGCUUUGGCGAGCCCGCCUUCACGGGCCACCGGCUUCGGCUGGUGAGUGCUCGCCAGAGAACCCCAAACUCUGAAUAUUAAUGUCGUCUGAGUACUAUAUAAUAGUUA
This 164-nucleotide unclassified non-coding RNA is filed under the name uncultured Chalara. RNAcentral's name for it is "sequence contains ITS1". Lineage: Eukaryota; Fungi; Ascomycota; Leotiomycetes; Helotiales. The record is from RNAcentral.